RNAcentral lists this ribosomal RNA (497 nucleotides) under uncultured bacterium. RNAcentral describes it as "partial 16S ribosomal RNA". It matches the Rfam family "Bacterial small subunit ribosomal RNA", at positions 28 to 507 of the family's 1533-position model. The record is from RNAcentral.
GAUGAACGCUGGCGGCGUGCCUAAUACAUGCAAGUCGAGCGAACAGACGAGGAGCUUGCUCCUCUGACGUUAGCGGCGGACGGGUGAGUAACACGUGGAUAACCCACCUAUAAGACUGGGAUAACUUCGGGAAACCGGAGCUAAUACCGGAUAAUAUAUUGAACCGCAUGGUUCAAUAGUGAAAGACGGUUUUGCUGUCACUUAUAGAUGGAUCCGCGCCGCAUUAGCUAGUUGGUAAGGUAACGGCUUACCAAGGCAACGAUGCGUAGCCGACCUGAGAGGGUGAUAGGCCACACUGGAACUGAGACACGGUCCAGACUCCUACGGGAGGCAGCAGUAGGGAAUGUGACGCAAUGGGCGAGAGCCUGACGGAGCAACGGCGCGUGAGUGAUGAAGGUCUUCGGAGCGUAAAACUCUGUUAUUAGGGAAAAACAGAUGUGUAAGUAGCUAUGCACGUCUUGACGGUACCUAAUCAGAAAGCCACGGCUAACUACGUG